Molecule: ribosomal RNA, 475 nt
Filed under: uncultured bacterium
Lineage: Bacteria
Description: bacterial SSU rRNA
Rfam family: Bacterial small subunit ribosomal RNA
Source: RNAcentral
GACGAACGCUGGCGGCGUGCCUAAUACAUGCAAGUCGAACGCACUCUCGUUUAGAUUGAAGGAGCUUGCUCCUGAUUGAUAAACAUUUGAGUGAGUGGCGGACGGGUGAGUAACACGUGGGUAACCUGCCCUAAAGUGGGGGAUAACAUUUGGAAACAGAUGCUAAUACCGCAUAAAACCUAACACCGCAUGGUGUAGGGUUGAAAGAUGGUUUCGGCUAUCACUUUAGGAUGGACCCGCGGUGCAUUAGUUAGUUGGUGAGGUAAAGGCUCACCAAGACCGUGAUGCAUAGCCGACCUGAGAGGGUAAUCGGCCACACUGGGACUGAGACACGGCCCAGACUCCUACGGAGGCAGCAGUAGGGAAUCUUCCACAAUGGACGAAAGUCUGAUGGAGCAACGCCGCGUGAGUGAAGAAGGUUUCGGAUCGUAAAACUCUAGUUGUUGGAGAAGAAUGUAUCUGAUAGUAACUGAUC